GGUAGAGCACUGAAUGUCCUAGGGGGUAUUGCACCUACCGAAGACUAUCAAACUCCGAAUGCCGUCAUCUUAUACUUGGGAGUCAGACUGUGGGUGAUAAGAUUCAUAGUCGAAAGGGCAACAGCCCAGAUCGUCAGCUAAGGUCCCUAAAUGUAAGUUAAGUGGUAAAGGAUGUGGGAUUGCACAGACAACCAGGAUGUUGGCUUAGAAGCAGCCACUCAUUCAAAGAGUGCGUAAUAGCUCACUGGUCGAGUGAUCCUGCGCCGAAGAUUUCCGGGGCUAAAACUUACUACCGAAGCUACGGCAUCAGUAAUGAUGGGUAGGGGAGCUUCCCAUACGGGUUGAAGCAUGACCGUAAGGACAUGUGGACAGUAUGGGAGUGAGAAUGUUGGCAUGAGUAGCGAGAUGUGGGUGAGAAUCCCACAGGCCGUAAACCCAAGGUUUCCAGGGGAAGGUUCGUCCGCCCUGGGUUAGUCGGGACCUAAGCUGAGGCCGAAAGGCGUAGGUGAUGGACAACAGGUUGAUAUUCCUGUACUACCGAUAACCAUUUGAGAGAUGGGAUGACACAGUAGGAUAAGCUAAGCACACUGUUGGUUAUGUGUGCCCAAGCAUUGAGGCAGUCAAAGUAGGCAAAUCCGCUUUGAUAAUGCUGGGAUGUGAUGGGGAGCGAAAUUUAGUAGCGAAGUAGCUGAUUUCACACUGUCAAGAAAAGUCUCUAUCGAGGUUAAAGGUACCCGUACCGCAAACCGACACAGGUGGGUGAGGAGAGUAUCCUAAGGCCAGCGAGAGAACUGUUGUUAAGGAACUCGGCAAAAUGACCCCGUAACUUAGGGAUAAGGGGUGCCACCAUCAGGUGGCCGCAGAGAAUAGGCCCAAGCGACUGUUUACCAAAAACAUAGGUUUCUGCUAAGUCGCAAGACGAUGUAUAGGAGCUGACGCCUGCCCGGUGCUGGAAGGUUAAGGGGAUCUGUUAGAGUAAUCGAAGCAGUGAACUUAAGCCCCAGUAAACGGCGGCCGUAACUAUAACGGUCCUAAGGUAGCGAAAUUCCUUGUCGGGUAAGUUCCGACCCGCACGAAAGGCGUAACGAUUUGGGCACUGUCUCAACAACAGACUCGGUGAAAUUGUAAUUCCGGUGAAGAUGCCGGAUACCUGCGACAGGACGGAAAGACCCCAUGGAGCUUUACUGUAGCUUGACAUUGGGUCUUGGUACUACAUGUACAGGAUAGGUGGGAGGCUUUGAAACCAGGACGCCAGUUUUGGCGGAGCCAUCCUUGGGAUACCACCCUUGUAGUACUGGGACUCUAACCAUAGGCCAUGAAUCUGGUCUUGGGACACUGUCAGGUGGGCAGUUUGACUGGGGCGGUCGCCUCCCAAAAGGUAACGGAGGCGCUCAAAGGUUCUCUCAGUACGGUCGGAAAUCGUACGUAGAGUGUAAAGGCAAAAGAGAGCUUGAUUGCAAGACAUACAGGUCGAGCAAGGAUGAAAAUCGGACUUAGUGAUCCGGUGGUUCUGCGUGGAAGGGCCAUCGCUCAACGGAUAAAAGCUACCCUGGGGAUAACAGGCUUAUCUCCCCCAAGAGUCCACAUCGACGGGGAGGUUUGGCACCUCGAUGUCGGCUCAUCACAUCCUGGGGCUGUAGUAGGUCCCAAGGGUUGGGCUGUUCGCCCAUUAAAGUGGUACGCGAGCUGGGUUCAGAACGUCGUGAGACAGUUCGGUCCCUAUCCGUCGCAGGCGUAGGAAAUUUGAGAAGACCUGUCCUUAGUACGAGAGGACCGGGAUGGACGUACCUCUGGUGUACCAGUUGUCCUGCCAAGGGCAUGGCUGGGUAGCUAUGUACGGAAUGGAUAAGCGCUGAAAGCAUCUAAGCGCGAAGCCAACUUCAAGAUAAGAUUUCCCACCGCAAGGGUAAGACCCCAGAAAGACUAUCUGGUUGAUAGGUCGAAGGUGUAAGUGCAGCAAUGUAUUUAGCUUAUCGAUACUAAUAGGUCGAGGACUUGACCAA
RNAcentral lists this ribosomal RNA (2003 nucleotides) under Clostridioides difficile. RNAcentral's name for it is "bacterial LSU rRNA". It matches the Rfam family "Bacterial large subunit ribosomal RNA", at positions 901 to 2925 of the family's 2925-position model. The record is from RNAcentral. Lineage: Bacteria; Bacillati; Bacillota; Clostridia; Peptostreptococcales; Peptostreptococcaceae.